UGGACUCUUAGAUUUAUGUGUUUAGUCUAGGGUUUUGUUUAAGAAAUUUCCUGUUUGUGUCCAGCUUUGAGAUUUCAGAUUUUCCUUUCUCUUCUUGUUGCCGUGUACUUCGUGGCUUCAAAAGAGACCCAACCAGGAGUGUAUUUCAAGAUUCAAGGAACCUAUUUGUAAAGCAUCGAGGUAAUGAUGAAAAGGCUGGGGAGCAAGGCAUUACUGUAGAGGGAGAGGCAGACGCUUAGGACCUUCCCUAACGAGGACAGUUAUGUUACGAAUGAUGGGUUAUGUUACGUAUAGAUAUUUUAUUUUGGGAUGGACUCUAAGAGUCCCUUAAGAAUGAAUGUUCGAAUAAAAUGUCCAUUAGGUGUUC
Long non-coding RNA from Juglans microcarpa x Juglans regia, 367 nucleotides. RefSeq lists it as uncharacterized. The record is from RefSeq and is a predicted model, not a curated record. The transcript is spliced from 3 exons. Lineage: Eukaryota; Viridiplantae; Streptophyta; Magnoliopsida; Fagales; Juglandaceae.